Heterocephalus glaber (naked mole-rat) is the source of this 4568-nucleotide long non-coding RNA. Lineage: Eukaryota; Metazoa; Chordata; Mammalia; Rodentia; Bathyergidae. The record is from Ensembl.
CCAGCUUCAAAGCCCGCACCUAUUUAUUGUUUGCACAUGCCUUCCAUAAUUAAGAAAGAAUGUGUCGGGCCAGGGAUUUAGCUCAGUGGUUCCACUGCCUGCCUCACAAGCUCAAGGUCCGCAGUUCAAUCCCCAGUACCAAAAAAAAGAAAGAAAAGAAUAUGUCCACUAAAAGAAUUUCUUGUCAAUAUCAGCUUAGAAAAUGAAACUAAGUGUUCUGUGACAGAGAUAGCUAAGUUAAUGAGGAAACAGAUGAAAUGAGAAUAAACAGUUCUUAAAUGUAAAAACUGUCAAAAACAGGUCUAAUUGCUGAGCAGUCAAGAACAUGGUUUUGUAGUUUUGCAGGUCUGACCAGCAUGGAUUUUAAUUUUGGCUCCAUUACUUACUAGACUUUUCAUCUUUCUGAAGUUACAAAAGCUCUCUGAGCCUGUUUUCUCAUUUAUAAAGAAGUAUAUAAAGAGGGACCGGGGAUUUAGCUCAGUGGUACCACUGCCUGCCUCACAAGCACAAGGUCCCAAGUUCGAUCCCUGGUACCAAAAAAAAAAAGUAUAUAAAGAUAUAUAUAGGACUAAAUGAGGGAACAUAUACAAUUUAUUGUGAAUCUGAUGUACUUAGGCUGUUAAUUAGUAGCUUUACUUAUUUAUUAUUAUCACAACGAGGCCAAGUACUAAUUGCAACCAAGAAAAACCUUCAUGGAUGAAAAGAGUAAAAGGAGAAGUAAAUUUUCCCAGAAAGUUCAGCCGUACAGAAUUCAGGAUUCUCAUUCAUUCCUUCCUCCUCUCUCUUCUGUUCUCUCCCCAUCCUCCGACUUGCUAAACCACAUACAUCACCUCAUUUCAUCUAAACAUAGUUUUUGCCCUUCAUCCACCUAGAAUUCUUCCUGUACUCCCCCUGGCUCACACUCACUUCCUUUCUCCAAGCUUCCCUCUCUAGGCUUGCUCUCUUUUUUCAGGUAAUUUAUUGCCACUUCCUCAGAGAGACCAUGUUCAUGUCCAGGCUUACAGUGCAAAGCAGCCAUCAUGCCAUUCCAUAUCAUACCGCCCUGUUUAAGCUCUCUGUACAGCACUUAGUACCAUCUGAGGUUUUUUUCUUUACUAAGGAUAGGUUUGUGUGGCAUGGUCAAGUUCAGAAAAAUGUGCAAAUUGGAAUGCAAAUUUGGCAGUCAUGAUUCUGCAUUGCUCUGAAUGGUGGCCACUUGAAGGAUGUAGAGCUCAUAACAUGUUAAAUGAAAGUUGACACCAACACUCUGAGUGGGAGGGACACCACGGAAAGGAAAGAAAUUUUGUAGAUCUGAGAUCUGGAUACAAUCCCCACCACGAGGAGGAAGCAGUUGUGAGUUUAAUGUACUUUUGACCUUAACUGAAGUAAAAUUUAGUAAACUGGGUUGGAAAAGAAAAUAGCUUCCUUCCCCAAAAGUCAAGAACAUAGAAGAAAUCUGAAAGUUUUUAUACAAGGACAGCUGAAUAGGUUGAACUUUGCACUAGAGUUCAAGUAGACAAUGGAAUCAUUAUGGAAACCAAAAGACCAAUUAUCUAAGAGGAACUAUCCUAUUUGGGGACUGGACAUGACUUGUGAAUAAAAUAGUACUGCAUAGCAUUGGUAGUGCUAAUAGUUUUUGUUUUGUUUUUUAUGCAAAGUCAGGUGCAAGAAAUCACUUCCUUCACACAUUGCUAGUACAAGUAGGGUAACAUUCCUGGGGAGCAAUUUGCAAUGCAAAGUAAAAGCCUGUCCCUUGACUAAAAGACCAUUUAGAAAAAUUUACCAUAGAAAAUAGUCAUUAAAUUUACUGGUUUUUAGCUUAAAAAAUUGUGACAUCCAAUUUUUCACUAUUUUUGAUCAUUUCCAAAACAUCCAUCAUGAAAGAGGUGACCAAAUAAAUUAAGAUUCAUCCAAUAAUAAAUUCUUACAUAGUUACUGAAAACUCGUUUCAAGGAUUUAUUAAACUUUUCUCAAAUAUUUUUAACUACUAAAAUUCUCACAACAAAAUUUAAAAACCAGAAAACCUAACUUCAAAUGCUAUAUCAGCUUACUAAAAAUUGACACAGAUAUGUCAUUGAGUCCAAAUUAAAAACAUGAAUUGGAUUUAAAUUUUAUUCUAUAAAUCUUGAAUGCUGAUAAUUUCAGUAGUUGAUAGACAUCCACACACAUCACACCCCAUAUACACUCAAGACUAAAUAAAACUAACCCAAUUGUUAACAUAGUUAUGUCUGAGUGAAGAAAUACCAGAGAAUUUUUAUUUCUUUGCCAUCAUUAAAGUUAAGAGUAAUAAAAAUAUAUUCACUAAAAAUAGAAGUUUUUUGUUGCUGUUCUGUUUUUGCUUUUGUUUUGCAGAAAGCAACCUUCUCAACCUUAUUGCGAUUUUUGUAUUGAUUUGUUUGCUGUUUAAACCUACAGUAUUUUGCUGAGAAAGAGGAAUAGAAAAAAAUCAAAAGCUAUAUGCUUUCAGAUCUAAAUACUUACAUUUUUCUAAUUAUUCUCAUGAAAUGUAAUCUAAUUUACUUUAAUUGCAGAUUUCGGGAAGUAGAAGAUAAAGACUGUCAGGAAAUAACAUUAGAAGUGAUAACAGCAGGAGCAAUAGGACCUAGGAGUUCCCAAAAGGAACAUGAAGGAUGUCAUGCCAAAAGGGGCAAAGAGCACAGUCCUCAACUAUGGAAAUAAUUGUGGGCCAAACUGUUAAUGGAAUUUGGGGUGCUGGAGUCUCCUAGAGUACCUGGGAUCGAACUCAGGACCUUGCACUUGGGAGGCAGGCAUGGUGCCACUGAGCUACAUCCCCAGCCCAGGUUUCUGCCCUUUACGUUAUCAACCAAGCUCAACUUUAAAUAUCUCUAAGAGAUUUUUGAUGUGAUGAGUCUGGAAGAAAAAACAAACCAGCCUAAGAAGCUUAAAGAAUCCUAUGAAGGGCAGAUAUGGAUAACAUUGGGUAACUCUGUGUUGUGAAGUUUCAGUGUUCUGAAAAGUACAAUUUUAAAAUGAUGAUUUUCCUGGUCUCUUUCCUUUUUUUAUUUCUAUCCUAUAAAAGAUGAGGAAACCUGAGUAGGAAGACAAGGAGUUAGGAAGAUGUUUGGAAGAAUUCGAAUUCAGAGGAAUGCAUGAGCCAGGCUUGGUGCCACUGUAAAGGUGGCCCAAGGAGCUCUUAUGCUAAUUGGCUCCAAUAGUUUUAUAAUAAAUAAAAUAGACUUUGACCUAAGGACAGCACUACUCUCGUUUGUAUGCAUGAGAUCUUGGGCUCUGUUUUGUCACUCAUUUCUCACUCAUUUCAAGUUCCUGGUUGUGGUUGCUGGAAGUUUGCCUGCCAGAUUGAGAUGGAUAACUGUAACAUAAUAAAUCGUAGUUAUGAGCAAAAAUUGUAAUAUCCACCUUGUAAUACUAUUCUCAAGAACCAGAUGUUUUCAAGAAAAACGCUUCAGUCUCCAAUCUGCCUUACAGUGCACAUCAGUGAAUCUGGCACAAUGCCCAUGAAAGCAAUUUGAUCCCAUAAACCAGGAAAGCUGAGUAAUGAGCAGGUUCUAAAUGCCUUCUUCCGAGUGGUGUAACCAUAGAAUAGAUGGCAAUCAUUAAACCAGGCUGUUUUCAAAUAGUGCUUAUAUUAUUUUUAUCUUUCUUCAAACAAAUUCUUUUGGCAAUGUUAAAGAAACUCUGUUUUUAAAAAAGCAUAAGGAUAUUUUAAGAAGGUAAUUACUACUUCCGUUUCUGCCAGAGGCAGCCUAGUUUUAUUUUUAAGAGUAAAUGAUGUAAGAACUUUAAAAAAAAAGCACUUGAAGUACAAACAAUGCUGUGAAAUAAGUAUUCAGUAGCAACCUCACCUGCAAUGAGACAGGCUAAUCAGUCCUAUUUCAUACUUUAUUUUUUUUCUUUUUAAAUUAAAAAUAUUUUAUUAAUAUAUGUUUGCAGUACAUGUAGUUUACAAUCAUCCUGAUGAAGUGGUACGUGUACAUACUACAACUUGGUUUUUUUUUAAAUCCCCUUCCCCUGCCCCGCAUUUCCCCAUCCUGAUUUUAAUUUUUGUUGAUUUAUUAAUCUUAGCUCAUUUUAUACCAUAUAAUAUUUAUGUUCAUUGAGGUUAUUAUGUUCCUGUUCAUGGCAUAUCUUUAUUCUACUUAUUUACUAAGCUUAAGAAAUUUAAAGGAAAAAAUGAACUAAAAGUCUAAGCAGUUUAAUAAAUGCUCUUUUCAUGUGCUUUAAGUUAAAUACUUACAAUUGUUUUAGUGAAUUAAAUUUUCUCUCUGGCAUAUAGUUUCUUUAAAUUUUUUCAGCCUAACUUUAGAAGUCACAAAUUGUAGAAGAUAAUCUGAAAGAAUUUACAGAGGCAGGGGAAAUUCCAGUGUACUGAGACAACCCAAAAGCAAAUUUGAAAUGAUUGAACACAUAUCACACAAGGGGAAGAAAUGGGACAAAGGAGAUAUGUCUGGAUUUUGAUGUCACUUCUCUGUAUUAAACACAUAAAUCUAGAGCCUCUUAUAAAGUGCAGUAUCUUGUAUGUCUUGGGUUAUUGUUCUCCUCAUACCUCUCUUAAAAUGUCAAAUGCUCCUUAUUCUAGUUCCAAUAAAAAUUUUUUUCCACAAAAAGAC